ACGGCAGUCGUUUCACCGCGUGGUCCGCGGUCGCGUCUCAUUACUAGUCACGCGUUUUCAGACUUCAAUUAUUCAAUUAUUAAUCGUCGUGUAUUCUUUUCGUCAUCUGUAAAAUAUUCUUAACGAGCAUGUGUGGCUGUUUUGUUCGAUGCGUUGUGGCGGUUAGAGUGUUCUUAAGUAAUAAAUAAGUAACUGUUACUUUCUGCACGAGUUUUCAGUUGAUAAGAUUUAUUCCGGGAUCUAAAAUCUCUUCAUCGUUACACUGUAUCUACUCACGUUUGAUUUGUGGUGUUCGAUACCCUGUAUUCGCUGUACCAUGGAGUCCGAUGAGUUCUUCAUUAACGUAAAUGUUAACGCUACCCUUCUACGGUGCCCUAAAUGAGUGUAUCUUCUUUAUGGAUCUUUUGUUGAAUGAAGCUAGUCAUAGUCAAUGCUUCCUGAGAUAGACAACUUUAUCAAUAAGGACCAACUGGAGUUCCGUGGUACUGGUGGAGUGCGUAUUGAGGAUGAUGCUAUGUUUACUGAAGAUGGAUGUGUCAACUGGACUAAAAUACCCAGAACUGUCCAAGAAAUUGAAGAUUGGAUUGCCGGUGUUGAUGAUGAUUCCAAAUACGAUUGAAUGAAUUUACAACAUUUUGAAGCUCAUAUUGAUAUCAUUUUUAUGUAUUAAAAGUGUUAAUGUAUUAAAAUGUGUUAAAAGAUAUAAAAAGAGCAUUAUAUAAUUGCAUAUUAUUAUCCUGUUUUCAUGCAUGUUUUGUUUAAAAUGCGGUAUAUAUUAAGAAAUUGAGUUUGUGAUUCUACAUGUUUGAAUAAAAUUGUUGUUUUAUAUUUUAAACUAUAAA
This is a long non-coding RNA of Dalotia coriaria, 842 nucleotides long. RefSeq lists it as uncharacterized. The record is from RefSeq and is a predicted model, not a curated record. The transcript has 5 exons. Lineage: Eukaryota; Metazoa; Arthropoda; Insecta; Coleoptera; Staphylinidae.